RNAcentral lists this unclassified non-coding RNA (394 nucleotides) under Hevea brasiliensis (rubber tree). The record is from RNAcentral. Lineage: Eukaryota; Viridiplantae; Streptophyta; Magnoliopsida; Malpighiales; Euphorbiaceae.
GAAGAAAAUAAAUUUAAAACCAAGUGCAGCAGAGGAAGCAGCUGCUGCUGCCAAAGCAGCAGCAGCAGCAGCAUCUGAUGUGGCAAAGGCGAGCCAAGAGAUGCUGUUUUCUAAAAAUGAAGAGAAAAAGAAGUUUGAGGACUGUGUCGACUUGUUGAAUGCUCAGCUUGGGCAGAUGAAGUUGAUGCUGAAGGCCAUUCAGAAUUUGGAAGCAACCACGUAUGGAAGAACUACUACCGUUGAUCAAGAAGAUUAUCGAAUUACUCCCAUGAGUUCAAAGCAGCCAUAUUCCAAUGGCAAGUUGGACCUUAGCUUCCAGUCAGCUACACCUGCCACACCUAUUGAACCCUCCGUUGCACCGCAUCCCAAGUCUUACAUGGAGAUCAUGGCCAUG